AUUACCGUAGGCACCGCUCCACUGUCCCCAACCUUGCGCCAUGGCGAAGAGGCGGAGCGAAGCGGCGGGUCGCCGCCUUCUACCGUGCACCCCCAUCCGCAGGAAUAAAAAUCAUCUUCCGGUUCUAAGUGCUCGGCAUGGAUUCUCGGGGAUUUUUCCUUCGUCUUUUGCAGUGUUUCUUUUAAUCCCCACGGCUAGGUCUUGGGACCCAUUCUGGAUCGUCUUAUUAGACCUGAGCGUAGGCAUAGGUGAAAGUGAUUUUUCGGUUGGUACUUGAUGCUGGGGAGUUUAUCCUCUGGGAAUUUGGGAGGAACACUUGUGAUUUGCAGGUAGAUUUUACUUAGAGGUGACAGAUAUUUGGUUUUAGCUUGUGGCAGGAACAUUCAUAUUUGGUCUGCUGGCCAAUUUCAAAAUGUAUCUGCUCUUGCUGCCAUAAGACUUUUCCCUUCCAAAACUGCUUGAUGAAGGUCUGAUCCACUUUCGCAUACCGUUAUAUGUUAAGACAUGUUGGCUUUGCUUCUAGGCUUCAUUUACUGGGGGUUUCACUUUCACCAUGCUCUUGGCUCCAGCUUCUCUGACAAGUUGGAGGUAGUGAAAACAAUCCAACUUCUGACUCUAGAGGGAUCAUAUUAAGAUCGAUAUAAAACUUAUUUUCUAAUGCUGCCGCACUCUUGUUGCUGCUUCAAGUGUUCCAAAAGUUAGUACUGGAUUAGUUAGUCAAUGCUUGAGGCAAUAUUAUAUGAAGAUAUCUGCAUCUGGAUAAUGGAUCCAUUUGUCCAUGGGGUCAGGAAAUGCUAGUGGCAGUUAUAUAGAAGUGAGGUUAGAGUUUACGUCUCUAGCUUCUCCAUGCCGCAGAAUAUGGAGACAGAGAUUCAACAAAGCCGGGCACUGGUCAAGGCUGUUUAUUGAGACGCGGCAUAUACGAUUUCUGUCUUUGGAUAUUCAAAGAACUAUCCCCAAGUCAUGGUAGUAUGGUUACUGUAGGGUCCCUGGGUUCAACUGAUUGGUUGCAAGUUCAAACAAUAGGAAAAUGCUGGAUCAAGCAGUUUAUUGUUAAUAAUAUAAUACCCAGUAAUUUGCGGUGUCUGUUUUCCCCUUACCGAGUUACCGCUACGUUAUCCCCUGCUUUGGUGUUCUUCAGUCCUCUGAAUGAGUCAAAGUAUACCUGGAAUCCUUAACCUUGCCCUGAUUCCAGGAUCAAAGGAAGUUGCUCAUCGACUGGUUCUGGAGUUACAUUUCUGCAAAAAUGUCCCUAGCAAGCAUCAAGCGGUAUUGGCUGGAGAAAAAACAUCAGUUGACAAUGAAAAUGGGUCAAAGAAUACCUGGAACCGUUAAGCUUGCCCUGAUUACUGCACAUCCAACUGGGGUGCGAUUUGGCAGCCUCGGAAGGUUACCCGAAGGAGGAGGAGUUAGCUGCGACUGUGGAGGGAAGCUGGUGUGUGUGACAUCAUGCCAUUUGGUCGACUUGGAGCUGGAGGAGGGGCCAAUGGUGUGGCGUCAUGGCAAUAAUGCAUUAGAUUUAGCUACAGGUUAGUUAAUCCUGACCUGCGCUUGCUGCAUGAUUGGGAUUAGAUUUGAGGUGUCUAACUCCUCAACCACAAAGGUUGUUUAGCUUAGCAUUAGCAACGGUGCAUGGAACGCUCCAAACCUAUGGCGCCCAUGAAGGCUUUGUUUUAUGGGUUCAGAUAGAAUUGAGACUUUGUCAUCAACGCUCUGAAAUUUGAC
Molecule: long non-coding RNA, 1725 nt
Organism: Triticum aestivum (bread wheat)
Lineage: Eukaryota; Viridiplantae; Streptophyta; Magnoliopsida; Poales; Poaceae
Exons: 3
Source: RefSeq, a predicted model, not a curated record